GGUUAAGCGACUAAGCGUACACGGUGGAUGCCCUGGCAGUCAGAGGCGAUGAAGGACGUGCUAAUCUGCGAUAAGCGUCGGUAAGGUGAUAUGAACCGUUAUAACCGGCGAUUUCCGAAUGGGGAAACCCAGUGUGAUUCGUCACACUAUCAUUAACUGAAUCCAUAGGUUAAUGAGGCGAACCGGGGGAACUGAAACAUCUAAGUACCCCGAGGAAAAGAAAUCAACCGAGAUUCCCCCAGUAGCGGCGAGCGAACGGGGAGCAGCCCAGAGCCUGAAUCAGUGUGUGUGUUAGUGGAAGCGUCUGGAAAGGCGCGCGAUACAGGGUGACAGCCCCGUACACAAAAAUGCACAUGCUGUGAGCUCGAUGAGUAGGGCGGGACACGUGGUAUCCUGUCUGAAUAUGGGGGGACCAUCCUCCAAGGCUAAAUACUCCUGACUGACCGAUAGUGAACCAGUACCGUGAGGGAAAGGCGAAAAGAACCCCGGCGAGGGGAGUGAAAAAGAACCUGAAACCGUGUACGUACAAGCAGUGGGAGCACGCUUAGGCGUGUGACUGCGUACCUUUUGUAUAAUGGGUCAGCGACUUAUAUUCUGUAGCAAGGUUAACCGAAUAGGGGAGCCGAAGGGAAACCGAGUCUUAACUGGGCGUUAAGUUGCAGGGUAUAGACCCGAAACCCGGUGAUCUAGCCAUGGGCAGGUUGAAGGUUGGGUAACACUAACUGGAGGACCGAACCGACUAAUGUUGAAAAAUUAGCGGAUGACUUGUGGCUGGGGGUGAAAGGCCAAUCAAACCGGGAGAUAGCUGGUUCUCCCCGAAAGCUAUUUAGGUAGCGCCUCGUGAAUUCAUCUCCGGGGGUAGAGCACUGUUUCGGCAAGGGGGUCAUCCCGACUUACCAACCCGAUGCAAACUGCGAAUACCGGAGAAUGUUAUCACGGGAGACACACGGCGGGUGCUAACGUCCGUCGUGAAGAGGGAAACAACCCAGACCGCCAGCUAAGGUCCCAAAGUCAUGGUUAAGUGGGAAACGAUGUGGGAAGGCCCAGACAGCCAGGAUGUUGGCUUAGAAGCAGCCAUCAUUUAAAGAAAGCGUAAUAGCUCACUGGUCGAGUCGGCCUGCGCGGAAGAUGUAACGGGGCUAAACCAUGCACCGAAGCUGCGGCAGCGACACUGUGUGUUGUUGGGUAGGGGAGCGUUCUGUAAGCCUGUGAAGGUGUACUGUGAGGUAUGCUGGAGGUAUCAGAAGUGCGAAUGCUGACAUAAGUAACGAUAAAGCGGGUGAAAAGCCCGCUCGCCGGAAGACCAAGGGUUCCUGUCCAACGUUAAUCGGGGCAGGGUGAGUCGACCCCUAAGGCGAGGCCGAAAGGCGUAGUCGAUGGGAAACAGGUUAAUAUUCCUGUACUUGGUGUUACUGCGAAGGGGGGACGGAGAAGGCUAUGUUGGCCGGGCGACGGUUGUCCCGGUUUAAGCGUGUAGGCUGGUUUUCCAGGCAAAUCCGGAAAAUCAAGGCUGAGGCGUGAUGACGAGGCACUACGGUGCUGAAGCAACAAAUGCCCUGCUUCCAGGAAAAGCCUCUAAGCAUCAGGUAACAUCAAAUCGUACCCCAAACCGACACAGGUGGUCAGGUAGAGAAUACCAAGGCGCUUGAGAGAACUCGGGUGAAGGAACUAGGCAAAAUGGUGCCGUAACUUCGGGAGAAGGCACGCUGAUAUGUAGGUGAAGCGACUUGCUCGUGGAGCUGAAAUCAGUCGAAGAUACCAGCUGGCUGCAACUGUUUAUUAAAAACACAGCACUGUGCAAACACGAAAGUGGACGUAUACGGUGUGACGCCUGCCCGGUGCCGGAAGGUUAAUUGAUGGGGUUAGCGGUAACGCGAAGCUCUUGAUCGAAGCCCCGGUAAACGGCGGCCGUAACUAUAACGGUCCUAAGGUAGCGAAAUUCCUUGUCGGGUAAGUUCCGACCUGCACGAAUGGCGUAAUGAUGGCCAGGCUGUCUCCACCCGAGACUCAGUGAAAUUGAACUCGCUGUGAAGAUGCAGUGUACCCGCGGCAAGACGGAAAGACCCCGUGAACCUUUACUAUAGCUUGACACUGAACAUUGAGCCUUGAUGUGUAGGAUAGGUGGGAGGCUUAGAAGUGUGGACGCCAGUCUGCAUGGAGCCGACCUUGAAAUACCACCCUUUAAUGUUUGAUGUUCUAACGUUGACCCGUAAUCCGGGUUGCGGACAGUGUCUGGUGGGUAGUUUGACUGGGGCGGUCUCCUCCUAAAGAGUAACGGAGGAGCACGAAGGUUGGCUAAUCCUGGUCGGACAUCAGGAGGUUAGUGCAAUGGCAUAAGCCAGCUUGACUGCGAGCGUGACGGCGCGAGCAGGUGCGAAAGCAGGUCAUAGUGAUCCGGUGGUUCUGAAUGGAAGGGCCAUCGCUCAACGGAUAAAAGGUACUCCGGGGAUAACAGGCUGAUACCGCCCAAGAGUUCAUAUCGACGGCGGUGUUUGGCACCUCGAUGUCGGCUCAUCACAUCCUGGGGCUGAAGUAGGUCCCAAGGGUAUGGCUGUUCGCCAUUUAAAGUGGUACGCGAGCUGGGUUUAGAACGUCGUGAGACAGUUCGGUCCCUAUCUGCCGUGGGCGCUGGAGAACUGAGGGGGGCUGCUCCUAGUACGAGAGGACCGGAGUGGACGCAUCACUGGUGUUCGGGUUGUCAUGCCAAUGGCACUGCCCGGUAGCUAAAUGCGGAAGAGAUAAGUGCUGAAAGCAUCUAAGCACGAAACUUGCCCCGAGAUGAGUUCUCCCUGACUCCUUGAGAGUCCUGAAGGAACGUUGAAGACGACGACGUUGAUAGGCCGGGUGUGUAAGCGCAGCGAUGCGUUGAGCUAACCGGUACUAAUGAACCGUGAGGCUUAACCUU
RNAcentral lists this ribosomal RNA (2905 nucleotides) under Escherichia coli. Its description in RNAcentral is "23S ribosomal RNA". It matches the Rfam family "Bacterial large subunit ribosomal RNA". Lineage: Bacteria; Pseudomonadati; Pseudomonadota; Gammaproteobacteria; Enterobacterales; Enterobacteriaceae. The record is from RNAcentral.